Molecule: ribosomal RNA, 301 nt
Filed under: uncultured bacterium
Lineage: Bacteria
Description: partial 16S ribosomal RNA
Rfam family: Bacterial small subunit ribosomal RNA
Source: RNAcentral
CAGCAGCCGCGGGAAAACGGAGGGUGCAAGCGUUAAUCGGAAUUACUGGGCGUAAAGCGUGCGUAGGCGGUUCGUUAAGUCUGUUGUGAAAGCCCCGGGCUCAACCUGGGAAUGGCAAUGGAUACUGGCGAGCUAGAGUGUGUCAGAGGAUGGUGGAAUUCCCGGUGUAGCGGUGAAAUGCGUAGAGAUCGGGAGGAACAUCAGUGGCGAAGGCGGCCAUCUGGGACAACACUGACGCUGAGGCACGAAAGCGUGGGGAGCAAACAGGAUUAGAGACCCGUGUAGUCCCUGUCUCUUAUAC